AGUGAACGCUGGCGGUAGGCCUAACACAUGCAAGUCGAACGGCAGCGCAAUAAGAGCUUGCUCUUACGGGUGGCGAGUGGCGGACGGGUGAGGAAUACAUCGGAAUCUACUUUUUCGUGGGGGAUAACGUAGGGAAACUUACGCUAAUACCGCAUACGACCUACGGGUGAAAGCAGGGGAUCUUCGGACCUUGCGCGAUUGAAUGAGCCGAUGUCGGAUUAGCUAGUUGGCGGGGUAAAGGCCCACCAAGGCGACGAUCCGUAGCUGGUCUGAGAGGAUGAUCAGCCACACUGGAACUGAGACACGGUCCAGACUCCUACGGGAGGCAGCAGUGGGGAAUAUUGGACAAUGGGCGCAAGCCUGAUCCAGCCAUACCGCGUGGGUGAAGAAGGCCUUCGGGUUGUAAAGCCCUUUUGUUGGGAAAGAAAAGCAGCAGGUUAAUACCCCGCUGUUCUGACGGUACCCAAAGAAUAAGCACCGGCUAACUUCGUG
RNAcentral lists this ribosomal RNA (492 nucleotides) under uncultured bacterium. RNAcentral's name for it is "partial 16S ribosomal RNA". It matches the Rfam family "Bacterial small subunit ribosomal RNA", at positions 29 to 507 of the family's 1533-position model. The record is from RNAcentral.